RNAcentral lists this ribosomal RNA (301 nucleotides) under uncultured bacterium. RNAcentral's name for it is "partial 16S ribosomal RNA". It matches the Rfam family "Bacterial small subunit ribosomal RNA", at positions 509 to 808 of the family's 1533-position model. The record is from RNAcentral.
CAGCCGCCACGGUAAUACGUAGGUCCCGAGCGUUGUCCGGAUUUAUUGGGCGUAAAGCGAGCGCAGGCGGUUAGAUAAGUCUGAAGUUAAAGGCCGUGGCUUAACCAUAGUACGCUUUGGAAACUGUUUAACUUGAGUGCAAGAGGGGAGAGUGGAAUUCCAUGUGUAGCGGUGAAAUGCGUAGAUAUAUGGAGGAACACCGGUGGCGAGAGCGGCUCUCUGGCUUGUAACUGACGCUGAGGCUCGAAAGCGUGGGGAGCAAACAGGAUUAGAUACCCCUGUAGUCCCUGUCUCUUAUACA